UACGUAGGCAGCGAGCGUUGUUCGGAAUUACUGGGCGUAAAGAGUGUGUAGGCGGUGCUCCCAGUCUGUUGUGAAAUCUCCCGGCUUAACUGGGAGGGUGCAGCGGAAACUAGAGUGCUAGAGGGUGGGAGAGGUAAGCGGAAUUCCUGGUGUAGCGGUGAAAUGCGUAGAUAUCGUGAGGAACACCAGAGGCGAAGGCGGCUACCUGGACAAUUGCUGACGCUCAGGCACGAAAGCGUGGGGAGCAAAAGGG
RNAcentral lists this ribosomal RNA (253 nucleotides) under uncultured bacterium. Its description in RNAcentral is "partial 16S ribosomal RNA". It matches the Rfam family "Bacterial small subunit ribosomal RNA", at positions 524 to 776 of the family's 1533-position model. The record is from RNAcentral.